UACGAAGGUGGCUAGCGUUGUUCGGAUUUAUUGGGCGUAAAGGGUCCGCAGGCGGUUUGGAAAGGCAGAUGUGAAAUCCCACAGCUUAACUGUGGACACGCAUUUGAAACUUCCAGACUAGAGUGUGAGAGGGGUGAAUGGAAUUUCCAGUGUAGGGGUGAAAUCCGUAGAUAUUGGAAAGAACACCGGCCGCGAAGGCGAUUCACUGGCUCAUUACUGACGCUCAGGGACGAAAGCCAGGGGAGCAAACGGG
This 253-nucleotide ribosomal RNA is filed under the name uncultured bacterium. Its description in RNAcentral is "partial 16S ribosomal RNA". It matches the Rfam family "Bacterial small subunit ribosomal RNA", at positions 524 to 776 of the family's 1533-position model. The record is from RNAcentral.